Non-coding RNA from Xenopus laevis (African clawed frog), 375 nucleotides. Lineage: Eukaryota; Metazoa; Chordata; Amphibia; Anura; Pipidae. The record is from Rfam.
GGAACAGCGGCGGCGCGGGAAAUGAUGUUUAGUGUUAACGUGUGUGUUUGUCCGAAUGCGUUGCGUGGGUGUAGAGGCCGGUGUGUGUGUGUGUGUGUGAGUCUGUGCAUGCCGGCGGGUGAGAGUUGUGCGCUGCUGCUCCUGCCUUUCUAUUACACACAUUGAUCUUAUUUGAUCACCCGCGUGGAUGGCGGCCUGUCCCACGGGUGAAAUGAUAGGAAACCGCUCGCUAAGCCCUACCCGGGCGCUGUGCGCUGAGCUCGGCUUUGCAGGCCGCUAAUCAUUGAAAUGAUGAAUCGAUCAGAUAUACUAGGCUGGGCUGAGGGGCUUCCCCAAUAAUCCCGGCCUGUGAGUAUAGAGGCGAUUCUGAUCUGA